CACCUAAUUUCUUUUGUAUCCAUUCAGAGAUGUUCUAUGCAACUGCACUCAAGAUAUUCUGUUAUUGCAGCACCAGUGGAUGAGCAUAGGGAAUGACUGAGCCAUAAGAUGAAAGGAUUCUGGAUGGGCAAAUGGAAUACUGUGUUCCUGACAUGGAAUAACCAUGGCAGAGGCAUGACUUCUCAGUUCAUAGUUAAGGGAGUUUCAGACAAUGAAUGUUUUGAAGAUAAAAUUUUGUAUAACCAGCAAUAUUUUGACAUUAUUCAAAGUGCUUCAUCUUAAAAUUAUGUUUUCCUUGUUCUUUGCUCAGUUGUUUGUCUGCCAAUUCACCAAGAUCUGGACAUAAAAGUUGAAGAAUAACCAAACAGUCUCAACAGACAGGAAGAUGUGUCCACACACACACAUCUGGUCUCCUCCUCUGGCAAUAGUUCAUAUUUGUCAGGAGGCUGGCUGUAAUUGAUGGUCAUGAGAUGGCAAGGGCCAACCUUACUGGGGCUUGUGUGAAUUAAAGCCUUCAUAUUGGCCUUAUUGGAAAGAUUUUCCAGAAAUAGCACCAGCACCAUCCUCACUACCUCCAGUAACAACAGUGAUCUCAUUUAAGCUACACUGUCAUCAGGGCCCUUUAUUAACAUUAUUUCUCAUACUCACAUGAGGAAAUUUAAAAUUCCGACAAAUGAAUUAAUUUUCCACAGGAUGUUUAGAUAGAAACUGGUAGAUCUUAAAUCCAACUCAUAUUUGCAUUAUGUUAUCUUAUAUAUUUUAUUAUCAGCUCUGGGAGUUUGUAAUGUUUCUAACGUGAUAAUUUAAGAGAAAUCACUGCUUGUUCAAAGUUAAUUCUCACUACCUUGUUAUACUGACUUAACAUCACCAAUAAGAAUGCUCUUUUGCAGCAUCAUAUAAUUCCCAAGUUCUUAAGCUCAUAAAACAGUUAUUUUCAAAACAUGUUGGUGAAAUGCUUUUUAAGACUCCAGUACAAGCUUGUCCAACCCACAGCCUGUGGGCCAUAUGCAGCCCAGGAUGACUUUGAAUGUGGCCCUACACAAAUAUGUAAACUUCCUUAAAACAUUAUAAGAUUUUUUUU
Molecule: long non-coding RNA, 1081 nt
Organism: Sapajus apella (tufted capuchin)
Lineage: Eukaryota; Metazoa; Chordata; Mammalia; Primates; Cebidae
Exons: 4
Source: RefSeq, a predicted model, not a curated record